CAACUUUCAACAACGGAUCUCUUGGCUCUCGCAUCGAUGAAGAACGCAGCGAAAUGCGAUACGUAAUGUGAAUUGCAGAAUUCAGUGAAUCAUCGAAUCUUUGAACGCNCCUUGCGCCCCUUGGUAUUCCGAGGGGCACNCCCGUUUG
RNAcentral lists this ribosomal RNA (148 nucleotides) under Lactarius aff. brunneoviolaceus CLC2133 (MONT). Its description in RNAcentral is "5.8S ribosomal RNA". It matches the Rfam family "5.8S ribosomal RNA". Rfam says of the family: 5.8S ribosomal RNA (5.8S rRNA) is a component of the large subunit of the eukaryotic ribosome. Lineage: Eukaryota; Fungi; Basidiomycota; Agaricomycetes; Russulales; Russulaceae. The record is from RNAcentral.